AAAUUGACCUCGGAUCAGGUAGGGAUACCCGCUGAACUUAAGCAUAUCAAUAAGCGGAGGAAAAGAAACCAACAGGGAUUGCCCUAGUAACGGCGAGUGAAGCGGCAACAGCUCAAAUUUGAAAUCUGGCCCUUUCAGGGUCCGAGUUGUAAUUUGUAGAGGGUGCUUUGGCGUUGGUUGUGGUCUAAGUUCCUUGGAACAGGACGUCACAGAGGGUGAGAAUCCCGUACGUGGCCGCCAGCCUCCGCCGUGUAAAGCCCCUUCGAUGAGUCGAGUUGUUUGGGAAUGCAGCUCUAAAUGGGAGGUAAAUUUCUUCUAAAGCUAAAUAUUUGCCAGAGACCGAUAGCGCACAAGUAGAGUGAUCGAAAGAUGAAAAGCACUUUGGAAAGAGAGUCAAAAAGCACGUGAAAUUGUUGAAAGGGAAGCGCUUGCAGCUAGACGUGCCUUUGGUUGAUCAGCCGGGCUUUUGCCCGGUGCACUCUUCCUUUGGCAGGCCAGCAUCAGUUUGGGCGGCUGGAUAAAGGUCUGUUAAACGUGACUUCCUUCGGGGAGAGCUUAUAGGGCAGACGACAUGCAGCCAGCCUGAACUGAGGUCCGCGCAUCUGCUAGGAUGCUGGCGUAAUAGCUGUAAGCGGCCCGUCUUGAAACACGGACCAAGGAGUCUAACAUCUAUGCGAGUGUUUGGGUGUCAAGCCCGAGCGCGUAAUGAAAGUAAACGGAGGUGGGAACCCUUUGGGCGCACCAUCGACCGAUCUUGAUGUCUUCGGAUGGAUUUGAGUAAGAGCAUAGCUGUUGGGACCCGAAAGAUGGUGAACUAUGCCUGAAUAGGGUGAAGCCAGAGGAAACUCUGGUGGAGGCUCGCAGCGGUUCUGACGUGCAAAUCGAUCGUCAAAUUUGGGCAUAGGGGCGAAAGACUAAUCGAACUAUCUAGUAGCUGGUUCCUGCCGAAGUUUCCCUCAGGAUAGCAGU
This 969-nucleotide ribosomal RNA is filed under the name uncultured Ascomycota. RNAcentral describes it as "eukaryotic LSU rRNA". It matches the Rfam family "Eukaryotic large subunit ribosomal RNA", at positions 1 to 985 of the family's 3401-position model. Lineage: Eukaryota; Fungi; Ascomycota. The record is from RNAcentral.